This 440-nucleotide ribosomal RNA is filed under the name uncultured bacterium. RNAcentral describes it as "partial 16S ribosomal RNA". It matches the Rfam family "Bacterial small subunit ribosomal RNA", at positions 338 to 795 of the family's 1533-position model. The record is from RNAcentral.
ACUACGGGGGGCAGCAGUGGGGGAUAUUGCACAAUGGGGGAAACCCUGAUGCAGCGACGCCGCGUGUGGGAAGACGGUCCUCUGGAUUGUAAACCACUGUCCCCAGGGACGAAGAUGACGGUACCUGGGGAGGAAGCUCCGGCUAACUACGUGCCAGCAGCCGCGGUAAUACGUAGGGAGCGAGCGUUGUCCGGAAUUACUGGGUGUAAAGGGAGCGUAGGCGGGACUGCAAGUUCGGUGUCAAAUCUACCGGCUCAACCGGUAGCCGCACUCAAAACUGCAGUUCUUGAGUGAAGUAGAGGCAGGCGGAAUUCCUAGUGUAGCGGUGAAAUGCGUAGAUAUUAGGAGGAACACCAGUGGCGAAGGCAGCCUGCUGGGCUUUUACUGACGCUGAGGCUCGAAAGUGUGGGGAGCAAACAGGAUUAGAUACCCCAGUAGUC